AUGUACAUGUAUACAAUGUUAAUGCAUCAGAUCCCAUUAGAACUCUGUUAUUAAGCACGCUUGGAAUAUAAUAUUACUAGGAUGGGCGACCACCUAGGAGUUCCUAGUGUUUUACAUG
Picea glauca (white spruce) is the source of this 118-nucleotide non-coding RNA. The record is from Rfam. NCBI's taxonomy places the organism in Eukaryota, Viridiplantae, Streptophyta, Pinopsida, Pinales, Pinaceae.